CCUACGGGCGGCAGCAGUGGGGGAUAUUGCACAAUGGGGGAAACCCUGAUGCAGCGACGCCGCGUGUGGGAAGACGGUCCUCUGGAUUGUAAACCACUGUCUCCAGGGACGAAGAUGACGGUACCUGGGGAGGAAGCUCCGGCUAACUAGGCGCGAGCAGCCGCGGUAAUACGUAGGGAGCGAGCGUUGUCCGGAAUUACUGGGUGAAAAGGGAGCGUAGGCGGGACUGCAAGUUGGGUGGCAAAUCUACCGGCUCAACCGGUAGCCGCACUCAAAACUGCAGUUCUUGAGUGAAGUAGAGGCAGGCGGAAUUCCUAGUGUAGCGGUGAAAUGCGUAGAUAUUAGGAGGAACACCAGUGGCGAAGGCGACCUGCUGGGCUUUUACUGUCGCUGAGGCUCGAAAGUGUGGGGAGCAAACAGGAUUAGAUACCCUUGUAGUC
RNAcentral lists this ribosomal RNA (440 nucleotides) under uncultured bacterium. Its description in RNAcentral is "partial 16S ribosomal RNA". It matches the Rfam family "Bacterial small subunit ribosomal RNA", at positions 338 to 795 of the family's 1533-position model. The record is from RNAcentral.